Molecule: transfer RNA, 75 nt
Filed under: Pseudomonadota bacterium
Lineage: Bacteria; Pseudomonadati; Pseudomonadota
Also listed under: 4 other names
Description: tRNA-Lys
Rfam family: tRNA
About the family: Transfer RNA (tRNA) molecules are approximately 80 nucleotides in length. Their secondary structure includes four short double-helical elements and three loops (D, anti-codon, and T loops).
Source: RNAcentral
GAGCCGGUAGCUCAGGGGUAGAGCAACGGCCUUUUAAGCCGUGGGUCGUGGGUUCGAUCCCCACCCGGCUCACCA